AGUUUUGAGCUAAAUAUAUUUAUAAUAUUAGUUAUUUAUGAAGGUGUUGUAAAACCUUUAUUUAAAAUUAUAUUUAGGGGUGAUAGGCCUUUCAAAAACUAAGAUAUCUUGAAUCUAAUUAAAAGUAUAUAGUACAAUUAACACAACUAUUAAGUGAUUAGGCUUUAUAGAAUUAUUAACCUAUAAGAUUUUAUUUACUAUAAUUUAAUAAUUAAGUACAUAAAUAUAUUAAUAUACAUAUAUUAUAGUUUAUAAAAGAGUAAUUAGAUAGAUUAAAGUUCAUAUUUUUUUAUAAUAAUGUUAAUAUUAGUAUUAAGUUUAUAUUUAUAUGAUGAACUCGGCAAAAAUACUUCUCAACUGUUUAUCAAAAACAUAACUAUGUGAAUGAAUACAUAGCGGUUUCUGCUCAA
RNAcentral lists this ribosomal RNA (410 nucleotides) under Mandarina polita. RNAcentral describes it as "partial 16S ribosomal RNA". The record is from RNAcentral. Lineage: Eukaryota; Metazoa; Mollusca; Gastropoda; Stylommatophora; Camaenidae.